RNAcentral lists this ribosomal RNA (166 nucleotides) under uncultured bacterium. RNAcentral's name for it is "partial 16S rRNA". It matches the Rfam family "Bacterial small subunit ribosomal RNA", at positions 355 to 511 of the family's 1533-position model. The record is from RNAcentral.
UAGGGAAUCUUCGGCAAUGGACGAAAGUCUGACCGAGCAACGCCGCGUGAGUGAAGAAGGUUUUCGGAUCGUAAAACUCUGUUGGUAGAGAAGAAACGUUGGUGAGAGUGGAAAGCUCAUCAAGUGACGGUAACUACCCAGAAAGGGACGGCUAACUACGUGCCAA